Molecule: non-coding RNA, 71 nt
Organism: Loxodonta africana (African savanna elephant)
Lineage: Eukaryota; Metazoa; Chordata; Mammalia; Proboscidea; Elephantidae
Source: Rfam
GCCCUGGUGGUAUAGUGGUUAAGUGCUAUGGCUGCUAACCAAAUGGUCGGCAGUUCAAAUCUGCCAGGGUU